This 497-nucleotide ribosomal RNA is filed under the name uncultured bacterium. Its description in RNAcentral is "partial 16S ribosomal RNA". It matches the Rfam family "Bacterial small subunit ribosomal RNA", at positions 28 to 507 of the family's 1533-position model. The record is from RNAcentral.
GAUGAACGCUGGCGGCGUGCCUAAUACAUGCAAGUCGAGCGAACGGACGAGAAGCUUGCUUUUCUGAUGUUAGCGGAGGACGGGUGAGUAACACGUGGAUAACCUACCUAUAUGACUGGGAAAACUUCGGGAAACCGGAGCUAAUACCGGAUAAUAUUUUGAACCGCAUGGUUCAAAAGUGAAAGACGGUCUUGCUGUCACUUAUAGAUGGAUCCGCGCUGCAUUAGCUAGUUGGUAAGGUAACGGCUUACCAAGGCAACGAUGCAUAGCCGACCGGUGAGAGGGGUCGGCCGCACUGGAACGGAGACGGCGUCCAGACUCCUACGGUAGGCAGCAGUAGGGUAUCUUCCGCAGUGGGCGAGAACCUGGCGGAGCGACGCCGCGUGAGUGAUGGAAGUCUUCGGAUCGUGAUACUCUCUUAUUAGUUAAAAACAUAUGUGUAAGUAACUGUACACAUCUUGACGGUACCUAAUCAGAAAGCCACGGCUAACUACGUG